GGUUUUAAACAAUCACUGGAAAGCUCAUUCAGCCCAGUAGCCUCCAGGAAGGUGGAGCCCCUGCCUAAGAGAAGAGACCAAAGUUCCAGGUGAAGAGCCAGCUGUCCUGUUGCUAAUUGCCCUGUGCAGAGAUCCAUAUGGAAAUGAACUGAGCGAGGCCUCCAGCCAAUAGUCAGCAAAGAAUUGAGAACCUCAGAGUCCACAAGGAACUGAAUCCUAACAAGCAAGUGAAGUCUCCCAGAAGGAUGAAAAGGAGAAUCCUCCCAUUUAUACAUAUCCGAUGCUUUCCCCAAAUGAAAUCUGCUUUUCCAACUAUUCAAGAAACCAGCUCAUUAUCAACAAGAUAAGAAAUAACAAGUG
Molecule: long non-coding RNA, 360 nt
Organism: Eptesicus fuscus (big brown bat)
Lineage: Eukaryota; Metazoa; Chordata; Mammalia; Chiroptera; Vespertilionidae
Exons: 3
Source: RefSeq, a predicted model, not a curated record